UACGUAGGUGGCAAGCGUUGUCCGGAUUUACUGGGCGUAAAGGGUGCGUAGGUGGAUCUUUAAGUGGGAUGUGAAAUACUCGGGCUUAACCUGGGUGCUGCAUUCCAAACUGGAUAUCUAGAGUGCAGGAGAGGAAAGUAGAAUUCCUAGUGUAGCGGUGAAAUGCGUAGAGAUUAGGAAGAAUACCAGUGGCGAAGGCGACUUUCUGGACUGUAACUGACACUGAGGCUCGAAAGCGUGGGGAGCAAACAGG
This 253-nucleotide ribosomal RNA is filed under the name uncultured bacterium. RNAcentral describes it as "partial 16S ribosomal RNA". It matches the Rfam family "Bacterial small subunit ribosomal RNA", at positions 524 to 776 of the family's 1533-position model. The record is from RNAcentral.